AUCCUUGUGCAUUACCUCCAGCAGGGUAUGAGAGUUCCAGUUGCCCUACAUCCUUGCCAACAUUGGUAUCACAAGUUGGUGUUUGUUUUUUUUUUAGAUGUUCUAACCAAUGUAUAAUGAUAUGUCAUUGUAUUUGUCCGUUUUCACACUGCUGAUAAAGACAUACCCCAGACUGGGUAAUUUAUAAAGAAAAAGAGGUUUAAUGGACUCACAGUUCCACGUGGCUGAAGAGGCCUCACAGUCAUGGCGGAAAGCAAAAGCUCUCUCCUUUCAGGUACUCCACCAUGUGAAAUGUAACUACCUUGAUCUCCCUGCUCCCUUUUCCUUAAUUCAGAGAGACUCCUAGACUCCAUGUGGCUUCUUCUGCCUGCAUCAUGGCCUGGAAACCGUCCACAUGAUAGCCUAAAUCAAUCAUAGGACUCACCAGAUUCAGUGAGUACAUGUGCAGGUUCAUUAUCAGCAUGUAUUGCAUGAUGCUGAGAUUUGGAGUACAAAUGAUCUCAUCACCCAGGGUCUUGCUCUGUCACCCAGCCUGGAGUGCAAUGGCGUGAUCCGCUCACAGCGACCUCUGCCUCCUGGGUUCAGGCAAUUCUCCUGCCUCAGCCUCUUGAGUACCUAGGAUUACAGGCGCACACCACCACGACCGAAAAGUGACCUGGAAGGAACAGGCGUAAACAUGGAGGAUCCAGUUGGGCUUUGCAUUUGCAUCCAGGUGGUCGCAUUUUAAAGAACUGAACCGAUGCCAAAUACAGACAGCAAUUUUUAUGGGAGAGACAAACAGAGAGAAGAAAAGGAAAACCAAAAGACAAUAAAAAGACGGGAUACAUCAGAGGAUAAAAGGAGCUCAUUUCCUGUAGAGGAACAAACUCCUUUCCUGUCUUCCUGUCUCACUCCCCCAACCAGGACAGCUCCUCUAUCUACAGCAGGCCCUAAGUCACACCUCCAUUGACCUAAUAAAAACUGGUUCCUAUCA
Homo sapiens (human) is the source of this 973-nucleotide long non-coding RNA. RefSeq annotates it as long independently transcribed non-coding RNA 2629. The transcript has 6 exons. The record is from RefSeq and is marked validated. Lineage: Eukaryota; Metazoa; Chordata; Mammalia; Primates; Hominidae.